GACGAACGCUGGCGGCGUGCUUAACACAUGCAAGUCGAACGGAAAGGCCCUGCUUGUGUGGGGUGCUCGAGUGGCGAACGGGUGAGUAACAUGGGAGUAACCUGCCCUUGACGUUGGGAUAACUUCAGGAAACUGGGGCUAAUACCGGAUAGGAGCUCCUGCUGCAUGGUGGGGGUUGGAAAGUUUCGGCGGUUGGGGAUGGACUCGCGGCUUAUCAGCUUGUUGGUGGGGUAGUGGCUUACCAAGGCUUUGACGGGUAGCCGGCCUGAGAGGGUGACCGGCCACAUUGGGACUGAGGUACGGCCCAGACUCCUACGGGAGGCAGCAGUGGGGAAUAUUACACAAUGAGCGGAAGCCUGAUACAGCGACGCCGCGUGCGGGAUGACGGCCUUCGGGUUGUAAACCGCUUUCGCCUGUGACGAAGCGUGAGUGACGGUAAUAGGUAAAGAAGCACCGGCUAACUACGUG
RNAcentral lists this ribosomal RNA (468 nucleotides) under uncultured bacterium. RNAcentral's name for it is "partial 16S ribosomal RNA". It matches the Rfam family "Bacterial small subunit ribosomal RNA", at positions 28 to 507 of the family's 1533-position model. The record is from RNAcentral.